CCAUUUUCCCCAUUAACUUUGUCCCAGGAGAAUAAUUUCUCCCAUUUUCCCCCUUUCUCACUCUCGGCUGUCUCUCUCUCCUCUCCAUCCGAAACUUUCUCUUCUCUCUUCUCUCUUCGAUUUCAUCUACCUAGGGUGUGAUUCCGGACAAGACCCGAGAAUUAAAGUUGCUAUUCGGAGUACGGGCUUUCUGAAUAUCCAAGAAAAAUCAUGAUCGGACCUCGUGGGAGCUCGGUUGACUUGGUCAAAGGGUCGGGUUUUGCUCAAACCCAUGAGGUACGAUUCAAGGAAGUUGGCAUGAAGUACUUGUUGUGCAUUUGUGACCAAACCUUUAGAAAGGUAUUCAACAAGGAUUUCAUAGCACAAGAUUUGAAAGAGCAUUUUUUUGGAAAGAUAGUAUUUGUAAAUUGUAAUAAUAUUUCCCUAGGAUAUUGGUAUUUUGAUAAUUUGGGGCCUUUGAGUUGGAAUGUAAUAUUUGAAUUUUAUUUGAGAACAGUGAACAAAAAGAUCUUUUGGGGUAUUAUUUGUAUUACAGCGAUGACUUUAUUUAUUAAAAGUGUUUAUUAUUUAUGUUGAAAA
Molecule: long non-coding RNA, 579 nt
Organism: Rhododendron vialii
Lineage: Eukaryota; Viridiplantae; Streptophyta; Magnoliopsida; Ericales; Ericaceae
Exons: 2
Source: RefSeq, a predicted model, not a curated record